Molecule: ribosomal RNA, 892 nt
Filed under: Microbacterium sp. M46-6
Lineage: Bacteria; Bacillati; Actinomycetota; Actinomycetes; Micrococcales; Microbacteriaceae
Description: bacterial SSU rRNA
Rfam family: Bacterial small subunit ribosomal RNA
Source: RNAcentral
GUCGAACGGUGAACACGGAGCUUGCUCUGUGGGAUCAGUGGCGAACGGGUGAGUAACACGUGAGCAACCUGCCCCUGACUCUGGGAUAAGCGCUGGAAACGGCGUCUAAUACUGGAUAUGUGACGUGAUCGCAUGGUCUGCGUCUGGAAAGAAUUUCGGUUGGGGAUGGGCUCGCGGCCUAUCAGCUUGUUGGUGAGGUAAUGGCUCACCAAGGCGUCGACGGGUAGCCGGCCUGAGAGGGUGACCGGCCACACUGGGACUGAGACACGGCCCAGACUCCUACGGGAGGCAGCAGUGGGGAAUAUUGCACAAUGGGCGCAAGCCUGAUGCAGCAACGCCGCGUGAGGGAUGACGGCCUUCGGGUUGUAAACCUCUUUUAGCAGGGAAGAAGCGAAAGUGACGGUACCUGCAGAAAAAGCGCCGGCUAACUACGUGCCAGCAGCCGCGGUAAUACGUAGGGCGCAAGCGUUAUCCGGAAUUAUUGGGCGUAAAGAGCUCGUAGGCGGUUUGUCGCGUCUGCUGUGAAAUCCGGAGGCUCAACCUCCGGCCUGCAGUGGGUACGGGCAGACUAGAGUGCGGUAGGGGAGAUUGGAAUUCCUGGUGUAGCGGUGGAAUGCGCAGAUAUCAGGAGGAACACCGAUGGCGAAGGCAGAUCUCUGGGCCGUAACUGACGCUGAGGAGCGAAAGGGUGGGGAGCAAACAGGCUUAGAUACCCUGGUAGUCCACCCCGUAAACGUUGGGAACUAGUUGUGGGGUCCAUUCCACGGAUUCCGUGACGCAGCUAACGCAUUAAGUUCCCCGCCUGGGGAGUACGGCCGCAAGGCUAAAACUCAAAGGAAUUGACGGGGACCCGCACAAGCGGCGGAGCAUGCGGAUUAAUUCGAUGCAACGC